UACGUAGGGUGCAAGCGUUAAUCGGAAUUACUGGGCGUAAAGCGUGCGCAGGCGGUUUUGUAAGUCUGUCGUGAAAGCCCCGGGCUCAACCUGGGAAUUGCGAUGGAGACUGCAAGGCUUGAAUCUGGCAGAGGGGGGUAGAAUUCCACGUGUAGCAGUGAAAUGCGUAGUGAUGUGGAGGAACACCGAUGGCGAAGGCAGCCCCCUGGGUCAAGAUUGACGCUCAUGCACGAAAGCGUGGGGAGCAAACAGG
Molecule: ribosomal RNA, 253 nt
Filed under: uncultured bacterium
Lineage: Bacteria
Description: partial 16S ribosomal RNA
Rfam family: Bacterial small subunit ribosomal RNA
Source: RNAcentral